RNAcentral lists this transfer RNA (68 nucleotides) under Marmota monax (woodchuck). Its description in RNAcentral is "tRNA.Ala". Lineage: Eukaryota; Metazoa; Chordata; Mammalia; Rodentia; Sciuridae. The record is from RNAcentral.
GGAUUGUGGCUCAGCGGUAGAGCGCUCACCUAGCACAGGAGAGGCCCUGGGUUCAAUCCUCAGCACCA